CAGAAGCACCUCAACCCGCUGUCCGCCAGAGACUACAAGUGAAAGUCAAAACUCAAAGGACUUGGCGGGGCCCACAUCACCCUAGAGGAGCCUGUCCUAUAAUCGAUAACCCACGUUAUACCUCACCUGCCCUAGCACCACAUCAGCCUAUAUACCGCCGCCUUCCGCCCGCCUUACUAAAGAGCACAUAGCGGGCCAAACAGCCACCACUAAUACGACAGGUCAAGGUGUAGCUAACGCGCAGGGAAGAGAUGGGCUACAUUUUCUGCCACCAGUAACCUACCAACAGCACUCGGGAAGCCGACGCCAAAAGGCGGAUUUAGCAGUAAACCGGACAAACUUGCCCUGUUGAACUCUGCCCUGGGCACGUACACACCGCCCGUCACCCUCUGCA
RNAcentral lists this ribosomal RNA (394 nucleotides) under Hemidactylus giganteus. Its description in RNAcentral is "partial 12S ribosomal RNA". It matches the Rfam family "Bacterial small subunit ribosomal RNA", at positions 875 to 1408 of the family's 1533-position model. The record is from RNAcentral. Lineage: Eukaryota; Metazoa; Chordata; Lepidosauria; Squamata; Gekkonidae.